RNAcentral lists this RNase P RNA (323 nucleotides) under zebrafish metagenome. RNAcentral describes it as "Bacterial RNase P class A". It matches the Rfam family "Bacterial RNase P class A". From Rfam's summary of the family: Ribonuclease P (RNase P) is a ubiquitous endoribonuclease, found in archaea, bacteria and eukarya as well as chloroplasts and mitochondria. Its best characterised activity is the generation of mature 5'-ends of tRNAs by cleaving the 5'-leader elements of precursor-tRNAs. The record is from RNAcentral.
UAGCCAGAUUGUCGCUGCGCAAGCAGAGGAAAGUCCGGGCUCCCUAGGGCAGCAUGCCAGGUAACGCCUGGGAGAUGUGAAUCUACGGCCAGUGCCACAGAAAAGAUACCGCCAACAUGUUGGUAAGGGUGAAAUGGUGCGGUAAGAGCGCACCGCGCCACUGGUAACAGUGGUGGCAGGGUAAACCCCAUGCGGAGCAAGACCAAAUAGGAGCCUUAUAGCGCGGCCCGCGUUGGGCUCGGGUUGGUCGCUUGAGCAAGUUGGUGACAACUUGCCUAGAUGAAUGACAAUCCAUGACAGAACCCGGCUUAUCGGCUGACUCA